AGAAUUAAACAUUCUUGGAUGUGACAUCUGUCACUCCAUUAUUCGUCAGGGUUGAUUUUGGGUGAUCUAGCUGGCUCGGUGGGUGCCCCCUUCCUCCCUCACUGCUCUGUGUGCGUCCCUCCCGAAGGUGGACACUUAGUGAAAGAGGAUAACCUUCACCAAAUAGAGACAUAUGGGUCUUUGGUCAAGGGUAUAUAAGUAGCUGCACUCCCCUGCUAGAACCUUCAGACAAGCUCUCAAGAACUAAAUGUUCUAGUGGCUCAGGUGGGUGGCUACAGCAUUAGACUUGCAAGCAUGAGGUCCUGAGUU
Molecule: small nuclear RNA, 309 nt
Filed under: Erinaceus europaeus (western European hedgehog)
Lineage: Eukaryota; Metazoa; Chordata; Mammalia; Eulipotyphla; Erinaceidae
Description: 7SK RNA (ENSEEUG00000020846.1)
Rfam family: 7SK RNA
About the family: 7SK was discovered as an abundant small nuclear RNA in the mid-70s but a possible function has only recently been suggested. Two independent studies have found that 7SK RNA binds the CDK9/cyclin T complex (known as elongation factor P-TEFb). P-TEFb activates transcription by phosphorylating the C-terminal domain of RNA polymerase II.
Source: RNAcentral